RNAcentral lists this unclassified non-coding RNA (302 nucleotides) under uncultured bacterium. RNAcentral's name for it is "partial contains 16S ribosomal RNA and 16S-23S ribosomal RNA intergenic spacer region". The record is from RNAcentral.
CCACUCCUACGGGAGGCAGCAGUGGAACUCCUACGGGAGGCAGCAGUGGGACUCCCACGGGUGGCAGCAGUGGGACUCCUACGGGAGGCAGCAGUGGGACAGUUGGCCCAGAACGAACGCUGGCGGCUGGCUCAGAACGAACGCUGGCGGCUGGCUCAGAACGAACGCUGGCGGCUGGCUCAGAACGAACGCUGGCGGCCCAGACUCCUACGGGAGGCAGCAGUGGGACCCACUCCUACGGGAGGCAGCAGUGGGACUCCUACGGGAGGCAGCAGUGGGACUCCUACUGUGAGGCAGCAGUG